RNAcentral lists this non-coding RNA (27 nucleotides) under Mus musculus (house mouse). The record is from RNAcentral. Lineage: Eukaryota; Metazoa; Chordata; Mammalia; Rodentia; Muridae.
UAUUAAUUGUUGGUUCUACUUCUUUAA